This 437-nucleotide ribosomal RNA is filed under the name uncultured Ruminococcus sp. RNAcentral describes it as "bacterial SSU rRNA". It matches the Rfam family "Bacterial small subunit ribosomal RNA", at positions 341 to 792 of the family's 1533-position model. The record is from RNAcentral. Lineage: Bacteria; Bacillati; Bacillota; Clostridia; Eubacteriales; Oscillospiraceae.
ACGGGAGGCAGCAGUGGGGAAUAUUGGGCAAUGGGCGAAAGCCUGACCCAGCGACGCCGCGUGAAGGAAGAAGAUCUUCGGAUUGUAAACUUUAGUCAACAGGGAAGAAACGAAUGACGGUACUUUAGGAGGAAGCUCCGGCUAACUACGUGCCAGCAGCCGCGGUAAUACGUAGGGAGCGAGCGUUGUCCGGAAUUACUGGGUGUAAAGGGAGCGUAGGCGGGACUGCAAGUCAGAUGUGAAAUGCCGGGGCUUAACCCCGGAGCUGCAUUUGAAACUGUGGUUCUUGAGUGAAGUAGAGGCAAGCGGAAUUCCUGGUGUAGCGGUGAAAUGCGUAGAUAUCAGGAGGAACACCGGUGGCGAAGGCGGCUUGCUGGGCUUUUACUGACGCUGAGGCUCGAAAGCGUGGGUAGCAAACAGGAUUAGAUACCCUGGUA